Podarcis raffonei (Aeolian wall lizard) is the source of this 638-nucleotide long non-coding RNA. RefSeq lists it as uncharacterized. The transcript has 3 exons. NCBI's taxonomy places the organism in Eukaryota, Metazoa, Chordata, Lepidosauria, Squamata, Lacertidae. The record is from RefSeq and is a predicted model, not a curated record.
CUUCUUGAACCAUAUAAAUUAGCCUUGCCCUUCUGAGUUUUGAUAUCCUGCUGUUUCUCAUCGAGCUGUUCAGCAACUCAUUCAGGUCUGAAGAUUCUGUGAAGAUUUCACAUAAAAAUGAACUUCAAAUGGAUCUGGCUGAUGGCACUUAUCCUGAUCAUAGGAUUGGCUAGUGUGGCAGAUGCCAGGCGUGGCCGUCGCCGAGGCGGCAGCCGAGGUGGUCGACGGGAUGGCCGACCCGGUUUUCGCUGGGGCCGCCGCUGGGGCCGCCGCUGGGGCCGAGGCUGAGGAGCAAAGUAGAACGAAAUGAAGGCACAGACCAGGAACGUCUGACAAUGGCAUCCCUCCAAGACAAAAACAGAAAACAAAAUGCUAGCGUAGCAGUCGCUUUUCAACAUUUCCUGCUCUCUACCCCGAUUUUCUGCUUCUUUCCUUGCCAGGGAGGUCAGUCUGCAAACAACAACUGCAAAUCACCUUCCCCAAAAAUCUAUAAACGUAGCUAAUUAGUCUCAGCUCCAUAAUAUUUUUUGCCAACCAUGGCUGUUUCUCUUGAGAAUGUAGAAAUGCAUUUUAUUUCCCACUGUUUGCUUUAUCUUUAUGAAACUUUCUUGCAUUCAGCAUAUUAAAGCAUUGCAAAA